This 4862-nucleotide long non-coding RNA is filed under the name Homo sapiens (human). RNAcentral's name for it is "HSALNT0074678". The record is from RNAcentral. Lineage: Eukaryota; Metazoa; Chordata; Mammalia; Primates; Hominidae.
GGGCGGAUCACGAGGUCAGGAGAUUGAGACCAUCCUGGCUAACAUGGCGAAACCCCAUCUCUACUAAAGAUACAAAAAAAUUAGCCGGGUGUGGUGGUGGGUGCCUGUAGUCCCAGCUACUCGGGAGGCUGAGGCAGGAGAAUGGCGUGAACCCGGGAGGCAGAGCUUGCAGUGAGCCGAGAUCGCGCCACUGCACUCCAGCCUGGGUGACAGAGUGAGACUCCAUCUCAAAAAAAAAAAAAAAGCUUUAUCACAUUUUCAGAGUAUCUAUUUUCCUAAUCCUUUAUCUAACCUGGGUAUUAUGUUGGAAAAGGGGAAAGGGAAAAGUCACCGAACUUGAUAGGUGGCAAAUGGUGUCCCUGGUGUGUUUUAUUCCAUGAUAGAGUAUUUUUCCCUCACAUUAAGCUGCCAUUUGCAGUGCAUGGGUUAUGUGACUAGUAUUCUAGACCCAGUUCAAAUGCCCAUCUUGGUAGAUGGGGGGAAACCUGUUUUCACCAGUUAUAUAGAUUGAGUUCACCACUCGGAAGGGUUCUGCUAAUAAGGAAGGGGAUGCUGAGCAGUAAAGAAAAGAAAGAUGAUCCACCAGGCUGAAAAAUGCAUCUUUUUCCUUUUGAUUUAUGUAUUUAGAGGAUAUUAACCUUUUGUUAAGUAUUUCUCUCCAAAUUAAGUUUUUUAUUUGUAUUAUGCUGGGCUUUAAAAAAAAAAUUUAAGUCGGCAGUGUCCUUGCCGACUUUUGAUGUCUCCAUAAGGUGCAUACAGACUAUUUCCCAGAUGCUGUACAAGGCAGUUUUACUAUCACUGAAUACUGGCAACUACUCUGUGAGGUUAAAGUGGUAGUCUCCCUUUGUGUUAUUGUAUUCGCAAGUAUCUAGGCACUUUUGGAGCCUGCAUUAUUUGAAUAGGUACUGGCUCACUAUUUGCCAGGGUUGUCAGGAAUGUAAAUGGUCACAAUCCAGGCUACUUUUAAGUAAGUCAUCUAGGUGGUGCUUAGAACCCUCAAAUCCAUUCCAAAUAACUUUGAAGCCCCAUGUGUCUUUACCAGAAUAUAAUCGGAGGUUUAUCUGCUGUUACUUUGGUAGUGAUUAGAUAAUUGUACUGUCUAGUCUGUUUUGUCUGAGGAACAGGACUCUUUCAGCGUUUGUGGUUUUCCAGUAGACCACACUCAGCUGAAAGCAAGACUGUACUGAGACACCAAGGCUCUGAUAAUAAGGGACUUUGCCCUUCCAACAGACUGAGGGCAGGCCUUGAAAUGCUCUUUGAACACACAAUUCUAUUUUAGCUUUAAAAAGACCAUGUGCCUCCCCUGGAUAAGUGCUUUAAAUCACCCUUCUCUAUUAUGGAGGCCCAGUCCUAACAUCUCAUUUACCUUAUUUCAUGUGUAGGAGGAAGAAACAAUUACAGGUUCUGAUAUCUUCACUGCUAACUAUUCCUAUAAAUUAUCCUCUAAGAAACACUACCAACCCCUUCUCAAAAAAGGUGCAUGAGCACAUAUUUUCUUAGGAAUACUCACACUACUGGAUGUGGAAAACCAGUCGUGCUCAACUGAAUGAACUACAGAAAAAUGCCUUUAGUUUUCCAUCUUUGAACUACAAUCUUUGAAGAAACUCCUUGUGCAGGUAAAACUUGGUACCCAGGACUGCAACUGAGGAAUUCACAAUCUCAAGGGAAGAAGCAAGUGAUCCUGGUAGAGUGGUUUUAAAGAGCUUCCCAAGCUUACAUAUACACGAGAAUGUAAUUUUUCCAUCCUAUUUUUAAGCUGAUUUACAAAUAAAUAGUAAAACAAAUUACAGUUAGCCUUCCAUAUCCAUGGGUGCUGCAUUGGUGGAUUCAACGGAGAUAGAAAAUAUUCAGGGUGAAAAAUUCCCACGAAGUUCUAAAAGACAAAACGAAUUUGCCAUGUGCCAAGUACUGUGUUGCAUCCACGCGAAUGAAGUGAUGUGUAGUUAUUGUAUUGGGUAUUGAAAGUAAUGUAGAGAUGAUUUAUAGUAUAUGGGAGGAUGUGCAGAGGUUAUAUGCAAAUAUUGUGCCAUUUUACAAAGGGACUUAAGCAUCCAUGGAUUUUGGUAUUUGUGGGGAUCCUGGAACCAACCCCACACUUAUACCAAGGGACAACUAUAUAGAGGCAUACAGAGCAAAAAGUGAAAGGGCAAGUGUACUUCCUCCCCAGAUUCUACGGCCAUUAAGUUCGUGCGUAUCUAUCUUUCUACAACUUUUCUGUGCAUUGUUUUUUACACUGUGUAUCAGUCCUUUUUCAAUGUCCAGCAUAUUUUGGCUACAAAGUACCAUGUAAUAAGAUAUGCCACCAUUUAUUUAAACAUUUUCCCAUUAUGGGCACAAGUCACUCCUCCCCACAAUAUUCUGUGGUUACAACAAUGUACUGAAGGAAUCGUAGUACACAACAUCUUUGUACAUUCUUACAAGUAUUCUAUAGGAUAAAUUCCUGGAAGGGAAAUGUCUGGGUCAAAGCAUAAGCUAAAUUUUAAAUUUUUGAUGUUACAGGCCGGGUGUGGUGGCUCACACAUGUAAUCCCAGCACUUUGGGAGGCUGAGGCAGGUGGAUCACAAGGUCAAGAGAUCAAGACCAUCCUGGCCAACAUGGUGAAACCCUGUCUCUACUAAAAAUACAAAAAAAAAAAAAAAAAAAAAAAAUUAGCUGGGCGUGGUGGCACGCACCUGUCCUCCCAGCUACUUGGGAGGCUGAGGCAGAAGAAUCACUUGAACCAAGGAGGUGGAGGUUGCAGUGAGCCGAGAUUGCGUCAUUGCACUCCAGCCUGGCGACAGAGCCAAGACUGUCUCAAAAAAACAAAUUUGAUGUUACCAAACUACCUUCCCCACCAACUGCAGAUGAUCUUACAUUUUUGCCAGUCGUGAGUGCAGUGCAAAAAACAAAUCUUACAGUACUUUAAUUGCAUUUAUCUGACAAAUGAAGUGAACCAUUUUAUCACAAGUCCAUUGGUCAUUUGUGUGACUUUAUGGAUUGCCUAUUCCUGUACUUAGUUCAUUUUCUGAGAUUGUCUUUUGCCUACUAGUUUGUAGAGUAAGAAGGUUGUACAAGGUUGAUUGCCUCCAGUCAACUGCAUGACUCUUCCUGAGUUUGCUCCACUGCCUACACCUCAGUAGGUAUCACCUGUGAGCUGCUUACAACAGUUCCCACCUUUACCUUUCUUCUUACAAAUGCUACAGGAAAAAAUGAUCAAUCCUUGAGUGAGACUUUAUGUGUGUCACCAACUCAGGAUCUUUGGCAUUUGAAGCUCCACUAAUAUCUUUUUACUACUUGUCCAAGCAAAUGAUAUUUAUUCUGGAUAAAGUGGAAGCUGUUUAACAUUGGCAGUUUUGAAACCCACUGAAUGAAUAUGAAUUUCAUCAUGGAUUGUCUUUAUGGCCUAGAGAGAUCAAAUCUAAAAUUGUUUGCCAAAUGUCAGUCCUGAACUUAACUAUAGUCCUAUUAACCUGAUAUUUGCUUAUCUUGAAUGAAGGUUAAAAAGAGGAGACUGGUUUCUUGUCCUUGUGAAAUUUACUCACAUCCAAUCAAUAGUUUCAGUGAUUCCUUUGUGUAAAAUUACAUGCUUCAGUAUGUGUGUAGGCAUUAAAGCAUAGGUUAGGGUGCCCAGCUCCUGGAUGACAUGUCUCUACCCAAGUUACAGGUAACUUGAGACCUGGUGUUUUUCCAUUCAACUAGCCAUUGUCUCUGCUUUCAGCCAUUCCUCUUAACACAGAUGUCACUAUUCUAAAACUAGCACCCUGUGGACCCACUGUUCAGAUUAUUUCAAGCUUGAGAGCAGAGCAUAAGCCAGUUUAUCUGACAGGUGGAGGACAGCACUCCUCUUGUACCUAUGUAUUUGUCUGGAAUUCCCCACAGCAAAACAGAGUCAACCAGCAUUUUCCCCUUUCCUACAUCCAUGAUACAUUCCCGUCAUUAUAGCACAACACUGACCUAAAAAAGUAAAAUUGUGGAGAAGGGGAAAGAAGUAUAUAUGAAGCCACAUGCCCUACGUACCUUCCAUUGCUUGUACUUUGAAACCAUCUUUCUUUCAAAUUAGUCAUUAUGCUUUACAGAUGACACGUGAGCCCAAGAUAAGUACAGUCAUCCCUUGGUAUCCAUGGGGGAUUGGAUCCUGGAUUUUCCCCCAUACCAAAAUCCAAGGAUGCUGAAGUCCCUGAUAUAAAAUGGUGAAGUAUUUUCAUAUAAUCUACACACAUCCUCCCCUAUACUUUAAAUCAUCUCUAGAUUACUUAUAAUUCCUAAUAAAAUGUAAAUGCUAUGUAAAUAGUUGUUACAUUGUUUAGGGAAUGACAGUAUGAAAGUCUGUGCCUGUUCAGAACGGAUGCAACACCAUCCCUUUCGCCACCCCCAUGCCCUCAAUUAUUUGCAAUUCACAGUGGGUUGAAUCCAUAGAUGCAGAACCCAACAACAGAGGGACAACUGUAAUCUGUCCAUGGUUAGGGAGCCAGUAAAAGGUGAAGCUCAGAUGAUACAGAUUUGUCUGACUUCAAGUUACGAAGGGGGUUUUGCUUGUGAGAAUAAACUAGUGAAAAUGUGGUUUUAUAAGUUGCUUUAAUGUAAUCUGCAGCCAGUCUUAAACACUGUUACCAUUUAACCACUUUUGGAUUGUACUAUAGACAAUUAGACAGGUAAUAAGACUGGACUGUUAAUAGGCCUUAGAGGCUUUAUAAACUGGAGCUUGAGAAAGAAGUCCUAAAAAUCUGCAGUGAUUAGCAACUCUUCUAAUGCAUCAUUAGAAGCACAUGGGGGAUCACCCCAUCCAAUGCUGCUUUCCAUGUUGCCCUGUGGAUUUUCUCCAUUUACCAGCACUAGUCAAGACACUAGUGCACCUCUAGUGACAGCUAAAAUUGAUAGUUUUU